CAGUCGCCGCGGUAAUACGGAGGGAGCUAGCGUUGUUCGGAAUUACUGGGCGUAAAGCGCACGUAGGCGGUUAUUCAAGUCAGAGGUGAAAGCCCGGGGCUCAACCCCGGAACUGCCUUUGAAACUAGAUGACUAGAAUCUUGGAGAGGUCAGUGGAAUUCCGAGUGUAGAGGUGAAAUUCGUAGAUAUUCGGAAGAACACCAGUGGCGAAGGAGACUGACUGGACAAGUAUUGACGCUGAGGUGCGAAAGCGUGGGAGCAAACAGGAUUAGAUACCCGCGUAGUCCCUGUCUCUUAUACA
Molecule: ribosomal RNA, 301 nt
Filed under: uncultured bacterium
Lineage: Bacteria
Description: partial 16S ribosomal RNA
Rfam family: Bacterial small subunit ribosomal RNA
Source: RNAcentral